CUGGAAUGAUGAGAUUCCACUUCAAAUGGUCCGUGUUUCUGAACCGUAUGAUAACAGUGGAAGUUCUGAUGCG
Molecule: small nucleolar RNA, 73 nt
Organism: Callipepla squamata (scaled quail)
Lineage: Eukaryota; Metazoa; Chordata; Aves; Galliformes; Odontophoridae
Rfam family: Small nucleolar RNA SNORD18
About the family: U18 is a member of the C/D class of snoRNA which contain the C (UGAUGA) and D (CUGA) box motifs. It is encoded in introns of ribosomal protein L1 in Xenopus and human, and in introns of elongation factor 1 beta in yeast.
Source: Rfam